This 306-nucleotide unclassified non-coding RNA is filed under the name Bombus terrestris (buff-tailed bumblebee). RNAcentral describes it as "misc RNA ENSBTSG00005021437.1". Lineage: Eukaryota; Metazoa; Arthropoda; Insecta; Hymenoptera; Apidae. The record is from RNAcentral.
UGCCAAACCUCAUCAUGGAAUACCUACUUUCACUUUAUUCAAUUGUUGACCGUUAUACUCGUGAAAAUAUUUUACAAUGUUAAUCUACCCCUCAAAAUUUUAACUAUAAUAAUGCAGUAUUUAACAAGCAGUUACAUGUUUGAAUUCUUAUUCCUAACAUGUAUCCGGAAGUCACGUGUAGAAACACUUCCUCGGUGUGUAUAUAUAUAUGGAUAUAUAUGUAUAUGUAUGUAUUUGUUGUUUCCAUUUUAUCGCACUCACAUUUAAAAUGACAUUUGCAAUUGUAAUUCUAUCUAUGCCGUACUU